UACAGAGGGGGCAAGCGUUAUUCGGAAUUAUUGGGCGUAAAGGGCGCGUAGGCGGCCUGGCAAGUGGAAGGUGAAAUCCCUCGGCUUAACCGAGGAACUGCCUUCCAAACUGCUUGGCUUGAGUCCGGGAGAGGUGAGUGGAAUUCCCAGUGUAGCGGUGAGAUGCGUAGAUAUUGGGAGGAACACCAGUGGCGAAGGCGGCUCACUGGACCGGAACUGACGCUGAGGCGCGAAAGCGUGGGGAGCAAACGGG
Molecule: ribosomal RNA, 253 nt
Filed under: uncultured bacterium
Lineage: Bacteria
Description: partial 16S ribosomal RNA
Rfam family: Bacterial small subunit ribosomal RNA
Source: RNAcentral